Molecule: ribosomal RNA, 460 nt
Filed under: uncultured bacterium
Lineage: Bacteria
Description: partial 16S ribosomal RNA
Rfam family: Bacterial small subunit ribosomal RNA
Source: RNAcentral
CCUACGGUGGGCAGCAGUGAGGAAUAUUGGUCAAUGGGCUUACGCCUGAACCAGCCAAGUCGCGUGAGGGAAGACUGCCCUAUGGGUUGUAAACCUCUUUUGUCAGGGAGCAACGCCGGCUACGUGUAGCCGGACUGAGAGUACCUGAAGAAAAAGCAUCGGCUAACUCCGUGCCAGCAGCCGCGGUAAUACGGAGGAUGCGAGCGUUAUCCGGAUUUAUUGGGUUUAAAGGGUGCGUAGGCGGAAUGCCAAGUCAGCGGUAAAAUCGCGGGGCUCAACCUCGCUCCGCCGUUGAAACUGGCGUUCUUGAGUGUUGGAGAGGCAGGCGGAAUUCCGUGUGUAGCGGUGAAAUGCGUAGAUAUACGGAGGAACACCAGUGGCGAAGGCGGCCUGCUGGACAAUAACUGACGCUGAGGCGCGAAAGCGUGGGGAGCAAACAGGAUUAGAUACCCCAGUAGUC